AGUGAACGCUGGCGGUAGGCCUAACACAUGCAAGUCGAACGGCAGCACAGUAAGAGCUUGCUCUUACGGGUGGCGAGUGGCGGACGGGUGAGGAAUACAUCGGAAUCUACUUUUUCGUGGGGGAUAACGUAGGGAAACUUACGCUAAUACCGCAUACGAUCUACGGGUGAAAGCAGGGGAUCUUCGGACCUUGCGCGAUUGAAUGAGCCGAUGUCGGAUUAGCUAGUUGGCGGGGUAAAGGCCCACCAAGGCGACGAUCCGUAGCUGGUCUGAGAGGAUGAUCAGCCACACUGGAACUGAGACACGGUCCAGACUCCUACGGGAGGCAGCAGUGGGGAAUAUUGGACAAUGGGCGCAAGCCUGAUCCAGCCAUACCGCGUGGGUGAAGAAGGCCUUCGGGUUGUAAAGCCCUUUUGUUGGGAAAGAAAAGCAGCAGGUUAAUACCCUGCUGUUCUGACGGUACCCAAAGAAUAAGCACCGGCUAACUUCGUG
RNAcentral lists this ribosomal RNA (492 nucleotides) under uncultured bacterium. RNAcentral describes it as "partial 16S ribosomal RNA". It matches the Rfam family "Bacterial small subunit ribosomal RNA", at positions 29 to 507 of the family's 1533-position model. The record is from RNAcentral.